Molecule: long non-coding RNA, 1436 nt
Organism: Grus americana (Whooping crane)
Lineage: Eukaryota; Metazoa; Chordata; Aves; Gruiformes; Gruidae
Exons: 3
Source: RefSeq, a predicted model, not a curated record
UCUAGUCAUAUUUUUUAAAUUACUUUAUAAUAAAAACAUAUGCUAACGGAUAUGAACAUAUUUUGGCUUUUCUUUUACAUUUAGAAUUACCUUUUUCUGAGGUCAUCUGAACUUGAAGUGUUGGCUUUUCAGGCAGUGUUUCUGGGAUCAAACAUGAAAAAUAUAAACGCAAGGAUGUUGAAAUCAAGCACAGUGACUUCAGCAGGGAAAAAGUGGGUCCCAUCUCAGUCCCCCAAGGGAUCUUAAAGAGAAUUUGCCACAUAAAAGAUGUGCUGCUGAAGCCAAUUUGCAGUCACACUUAAAGAUGGGCUAGGAUCAGAAGUUGGCCUCAAAACCAUUUGACAAGACACACCCUGUACAACAGUAACUGGGAUCCAGUCAAGCUGCUUCUGGCUCCAAGAAGGCUUCACCAGUGCCGUAAAUCAGCCUUGCUUGCUGAAACUGCUGUGAUCCAAAACUACGUGAGAUCUUCUUUGUAGCAGCACCUGCAAAAUAAUUUUAUCUGUCUGACAUAAAACAUAAUCCAGGAGUGCAGCACAGGCAGAGAUCUACCCAGCUGGGGAGCAGCCCUGUGGAAAGGGGCCUGGGGGUCCUGGUGCACAAGCAGCUCAGUGUGAGCGAGCCGUGUGCUGCUGCAGCAAAGCAAGCCAACAGGAUGCUGGGUUGCAUCAACAAGGGCAUCACCAGCAGAGCUGAUGAAGUCAUUAUCCCCCUCUACUCACCGCUUGUCAGGCCACACCUGGAACAGUGUGUUCAGUUUUGGUCCCCACUAUGCAAAAAGAUGUGGACAGGGUGGAGAGGGUCCAGAGAAGGGCCACAAAGAUGACCAAAGGACAGGGAAGCCUGCCAUAUGAGGCAAGGCUGAGAGAACUGGCUUUGUUCAGCCUUGAGAAAAGAAGGCUUAGAGGAGACCUUAUCACCAUGUUCCAGUAUUUAAAGGGUGGCUACAAAGAAGAAGGAGACUCCCUUUUUAUAAGGCGUCAGAUGGAAAAGACGAGGUGUAACGGGUGCAAGUCACUCCUGGGGAGAUUCCGACUGGACACAAGGGAAAAAUUUUUCACAAUGAGAACAAUCAGCCAUUGGAAUAAUCUCCCCAGGGAAGUGGUGGAUUCCCCAACAUUGGACACGUUUAAGAUUCAGCUGGACGGGGUGCUGGGCCAUCUUGUCUAGACUGUGCUUUUGCCAAGAAAUGUUGUUCGCCUGCCAAUAUGGAAAGAUUAAUUAAAUUCUUCCAUAGAUGAAGGUGAAAGUAGGGUCCUUGUGGUCAGUGCACAUUUUGGAUGUGGAGGCAGGGGUAAGUUGAUAAAUCCCCUUUUGAAAAGGGCAGCCCGGCUCUUUCCUCUCGUGUUUUCAAAUGAUAAGUGUGUCCUUGUCCUUCUGAGGUGAGGUUGGCCUGUCAGGUUCUUUCAGUGGGGAAGUCUGGGUGUAGGGGAGCU